UAAGUGGGGAUUAGACUUGAAUUUGCUCCCCUACCUAGGGGACUUAGACAGAUCACUUAGAGAUCACCUGAUGCAUGCAUUGGGUCAAAGGUCAAUUAAAGAUCACAUGAUAUCUGCCCACACUCUUCCUUCCAACACGUAUACAGUGACUAGUCGAGCGCCGCUGCCCUCCUUGAAGGAGGUCGGGAAUCAAGCCUAUCCACAGUUUUGUUCUGGCCUGUUACGCAAUAGUAUCAUGAAUAUCAUUCAUUCUAUGUGGGUGCUAACCAAUAGCGAUGAAUAUCAUUUAUUAAAGUGGGUGUUGGCCUCGCGGCCCUCGCCUCUCAGUCAAUCCAACGUGUGCAAAAUUCACAUGUGGUACAGUUGAGUGGGUGUGAUCAAUCCCCUUGAGAUACUGCAAUCUGAUUGGAGCUGGAGGAAUUGUUGGAUUUCCAACAACAGAACAAAACUGUGGAUCUCUGCCUUGACUUCACUAGCUCUAUAGGAGUAAGCUUAUAGCUGUCAAUGUAAGAACAUAUUUAUAUAGUGAUUCUGUACUUGUUAUCUUCUCGCUACAGUGAAACCAUGAUGAGUUCUAUAGGAGGAGAACAAGUCGGCACUCCUUCCCUCUCACACUUAUCACACAGGGAAACUAUUCUAAGUCUCGUUCAAUCUCUAAUGUCGGUGAACACACAUGAAAAGAAGCCACGAUGUAUUUUUGUGGGCACAUUCUGGAUUGACCCAGAAACAUGAAAAUUUAGUGCCUCGAAAAGUGGUUUACAUCCAGUAUCUAUAUUGUAGGGGUGUGGUCGUUUGAACCUAUCCUUGAAAUUUAAAGUAAAAUCCUUGAAAUGUUUAGUUUAGGCAAUCCGCGAAAAUUCAGUGCCUCAAACAUGACCCAGAUUACUGAUCAGCCAUGCAUACAAUAACGGUUUACUUCAGCCUUCAAAUCAAUUUAGGGUAGGUGAUAUUGAGGCAAAUCAGUAUCCUUUAUUUUGGUCAUGCUGCAUGUGUAGAGCCAUGACUUCUUAUUCUCACCCUAUACACAUAUAGGCAACGAGGAUGAUCAUGGGUGUGAAAAUCAAUUAUGCACUAGAGACUUGCAAGAAGUGUUUUCAAACUUGAUGGAGGUUGUUACUAGUUGGUUUAAUUUGGGGCUCUCUUUGGGAAUUCAAGUUGGCACACUCAAAGCCAUCAAAUCUAAUGAAAGCAACGACCAAGAUCGCUUGCGUGAAAUGCUGACCCACUGGUUGUAGUACUCACCUUCUCGUACAUGGAGUGACAUUUGCAAUGGCCUCAGAAGUGACACUGUCAAACAAAUCAAUCUUGCUGAUAAAAUCGAGGAGAAAUACAAAGGCUCACUGUCAGUGGCCCCUCCACAAGUGCCCAACCUGAUGAGUGCACUAGCAAUACCAGGUCAGCAAUCUGGCCGGGACUAUCAUCAAUGGCCACUAGCCCCCAUUUUACCACCGCUACAAGAGCACUCGUCCCGACCACACCCCCUCACUGGUGAGAAGAGAGAGGCCACUGAACACACUGAGCAAGUUCCCCCCAAGAGACCUCGGUCAGAGGAACAGUGAGGGAGGAGAAUGGACUACGUACACUGUCCAGCUCGUCUGUUGAUGGUCACCUCCUCAG
Molecule: long non-coding RNA, 1617 nt
Organism: Halichondria panicea
Lineage: Eukaryota; Metazoa; Porifera; Demospongiae; Suberitida; Halichondriidae
Exons: 4
Source: RefSeq, a predicted model, not a curated record